GAUGAACGCUGGCGGCGUGCCUAAUACAUGCAAGUCGAGCGAACGGACGAGAAGCUUGCUUCUCUGAUGUUAGCGGCGGACGGGUGAGUAACACGUGGAUAACCUACCUAUAAGACUGGGAUAACUUCGGGAAACCGGAGCUAAUACCGGAUAAUAUUUUGAACCGCAUGGUUCAAAAGUGAAAGACGGUCUUGCUGUCACUUAUAGAUGGAUCCGCGCUGCAUUAGCUAGUUGGUAAGGUAACGGCUUACCAAGGCAACGAUGCAUAGCCGACCUGAGAGGGUGGUCGGCCACACUGGAACUGAGACACGGUCCAGACUCCUACGGGAAGCAGCAGUAGGGAAUCUUCCGCAAGGGGGGAGAGCCUGACGGAGCAACGCCGCGGAAGUGAUGAAGGUCUUCGGAUCGUAAAACUCUGUUAUUAGGGAAGAACAUAUGUGUAAGUAACUGUGCACAUCUUGACGGUACCUAAUCAGAAAGCCACGGCUAACUACGUG
RNAcentral lists this ribosomal RNA (497 nucleotides) under uncultured bacterium. Its description in RNAcentral is "partial 16S ribosomal RNA". It matches the Rfam family "Bacterial small subunit ribosomal RNA", at positions 28 to 507 of the family's 1533-position model. The record is from RNAcentral.